Molecule: long non-coding RNA, 10165 nt
Filed under: Panax ginseng (ginseng)
Lineage: Eukaryota; Viridiplantae; Streptophyta; Magnoliopsida; Apiales; Araliaceae
Description: long non-coding RNA (PGIN_LNC000193)
Rfam family: MIR6136 microRNA precursor family (bases 1216-1318)
Source: RNAcentral
UAAGCCAUUUUACUGGAAAUUCAAGUAAUGAAGUGCUGAGUCAUUAAGGAUGUAAGUAGGAGGUGGCCUUUGAGCAUGUUAGUAGCUACCCACUAAGCAAAGGUAAUUACUUGAAAAUUUAAAAGGAAACCCAGGGUCAUGAAAUCAAGGACUCUGCUCUUUCCAUUCCAUUUUACAUCUGAUCCAAACAAACAGUCAUUCCCUUCCAUUUCGUUCCAAAAGAGAGAAGUAAAAGCAUUACUCAGCAAGCCUAUUAAGUAACCAUCAAGUAAAAACAGUAUGGGGCAAGGAAAGGUUUGUGAAAAGCAAGGCUUAAAAUCCUAUAAAGCUAAAGCAAAAUCAGUUCAGUUCUGGCUAUCAUUGCCCAUACUAUCUGACCACUUCCCGUCCUCUAACCUGCCGAAACUCCCUGCCCAGUCCUUGGCCAGUUCACUCAUUCCAUCCGUGUCCUGUCCAGGCUAUUUUAUGUGAUUAGAACAAAGAAUUAAAGCUAAGGAGGAGUUAUAUCAAGAUCAAAAUCAAGCUCACAAAAAGGUAUAUAUAUAUAUAUAUAUAUAUAUAUAUAUAUAUAUAUACACUUAUAUAUAUNNNNNNNNNNNNNNNNNNNNNNNNNNNNNNNNNNNNNNNNNNNNNNNNNNNNNNNNNNNNNNNNNNNNNNNNNNNNNNNNNNNNNNNNNNNNNNNNNNNNNNNNNNNNNNNNNNNNNNNNNNNNNNNNNNNNNNNNNNNNNNNNNNNNNNNNNNNNNNNNNNNNNNNNNNNNNNNNNNNNNNNNNNNNNNNNNNNNNAUGGCAAAAUUAGUCAUCACUAAGAGCCAUCAUAUAUACUAUUAUUUUGUGAUUGCUUAAAAAGUCCAUCACAAAUUACUAUCUUUUGUGAUUGUUUUUAAAAACUGUCACAAAAUUCCGUCACGUAUUCUUGUUUUUCUAGUAGUGACUCUUAGUUAAGUCAAACCCUUAUUCUGAUUAAUUAAACUCUAAACAUUUAUUGGUUAAGCCAAACUCUUAUUCUAAUUAGCUAAGCAUUCGUUACGGAUGUCGAUUUUCAGUUUUUAAUCUUGGUCAUUACUUCUUAUUUUCAAUGAUAUAGAUGAUGUAUGUCCGGUAAAGAUCUAUAACAAAUACAUGCUAUGGAUUAUUACAUACAUAUAUAUAUAUAUAUACGGUCCGGACCAAGUGCAUACCCCUUAUCUUACUUACCCGUGCUCACCCCCCUUUAGGCGACGGUUUCGGUCAUACAACCGUCGCCUAUACUUUUAGCGACGUUAUAUGUUGUCCGUCGUUAAAAGUAUAGGCGACGGUUGUAUGACCGAAACUGUCGCCUAAAGAGGGGUGAGCACGGGUGAGUAAGAUAAAUGGUAUGCACUUAAUCCUUGUUCUAUAUAUAUAUAUAUAUAUUAGUGUGUAUUAUGUUGUUUUAAAGUACAUGAAAAAAUUGAAUUGGUAAGUUAUAUGGCUUGACUUGAAAUUGAUAAAUAAAGCAAUGGGUAAUUGAUCAUGUGUAUUGAUCAAUUAUGGGAAUCGAAAUUCUCUAUAAUGAUUAUGUUAAAAUCAAAGAAAUUGAAAAUUUGAAAAGUUUGUAAACUAACUAGUGUAGUAACUAAUAGAGUAUUCAUGAAAUUUGUUAUGUAUUGAAUUGCCUUUAACUGAAAUAGAGCAAAGGAGUUAGGCUGGUUGUGUGGUGAUAUAAGGAAGCUAAAAUGGGCUAAUAGGACAAACAAAUGGCUAUGAAAAUUUCAUUUCAAAACAGCACAUAUAAGAUGUUUGAUAUAAAUCCUCUAUGAACUUUUAUCGUUAAAAAUCAAGAAUUUGAUGAAGCCGAAGCUAAGAUUACUUGUAUAAACCUUUUAUAUGAUUAGUUAAGGGUUUUGAGCAGAUUAAAUUGAAGAGUGAGUAAUUUUAAGCCAAAACAAAAAAUUUGAAAAUUUGUAUGUCAGGCUGAUUUGGGCUAACUAUUUCGGCUAGUUAGACUUGCUGGAAAAUUAUAAUUUUCUGGGGUCCUGUAAUAUGCAAUCCUAGCUAGCCAUAGCCUUCAAAAUGGACUAAUUUUGAGUUCAGAAGACUGAGUUAAGAUGUGCCAAAGUGGGUGCGUCGAAACUGUCCAACUCUGGAAAACAGAUUUGAAGCAGUCUCCUCCCACGAAUUUUCUGGAAUUUUGUGUUAGGAAUUUGAAAAUGUUUAAAGAAUAAAAGUUGUAGCCCCAGAAGUUAGCUUUGCUUGGGCUCAAGAAACGCUCAAAAAUGUUUUGAAACGAAGAAGUUAUGACUGUUUUAGCGAGAGUGGGUAAAGCUGGAAAAAAUUUAAAAACAGUUGCGACCAAACAUUUUUGGGGUUUGCUUUGGACUGCCUAUGAUGUCCAAAAUAGGUGGAUUGUAUUUUAUAAAUAUAGCUUAAUAUGGUGUCUAAAAUAUAUCCAAAAUUGGUUGUAAUCGAAGUUAUGAGCUAAAAGAUAAGAAAUUAUAAAGAAGCCAUUUAAACUCUCUAGAAAUUGAAGAUAGCAACUGAGUUUAGAAGGAAGUUUAAGCAAUAUAUUGACAAAAGGAGGAUUGAAUUCAGCCAUAACAAGCUCAAGACAUGAAUUGAAGCAAGCUUAGAGCAAGAGUUAAGUUAUGAUAUCAAUUAAGUAAGGUAAAUUAUACUUACUCAUCAAAUUUAUAGAAAUUGAAAUAAAGAUGGAAUUGAAUUGCUUUAUUGGUUGAGAAAUUGAUUUGGUUAAUGCUAUUGUAUGAGUUCUGAAGUGACAAGGGAAGAUUUUCAUGGAAAAAUCAUUGGCUAGAAUAUGUCUAAAAGGUUGUGAAUUCUGGGGUUUUAAACCAUGCAUUCAUGGUGUUUGUUAAAAUAUCUCAAUGAGACAAAUAUGUUAAAACAUGAGAAUUGGCCAGUGUUAUGAGUAAGAUAGCCUGCAUAUCUGUAUUAGAAGAUAACCUAACUUAUUUGUAUGUCUGGAAUAAAGCCCAAAGUGAAGUUCAUAAGUUUUUGUUAAACUUGAAUUUGGAUGAAAAAUGUGGUGACAGGGCAGUUUUGAGCCUCUAUAAGUACACCUUAAAGAAUCUGUUUGGGCCAUGUUAUAUUUUUAUAAAAUAUUAUGUAGUAACAUCUCAAACAUAUCCAAAAUUGAAAUCAUUCGGAUGUAUAGACUGCAUGAUAGAAAAUCACAAAGUAGCUACGAAAGUAACCAAAAUCUGGAAAUCUGUAGAAGCAGAAAAUUGGCCAAGUCUGAAACAGCUGUGCGUGGGCUGUUUCGGGUCACUGUUUCGAAGCCUUGCCAAACUCUUUCCAUAGAUGUUAUAUUUUUUAAAAAUACUACGUAGUAUGAGGUAGAACAUAUCCAAAAAUGGAUUCAAUUUGAUGUAUAUCGAGUAAGAUAAAAAUUCGUAAAACUAGCCCGAAGACCACAAAAUUCAAAAUUUCCAAAUUUUGUUUCUGCAGAAUCUGGGCAGUAGGCAGGCUGUCUGGGUUGUUUCGGCACGCCAAACCAUUUUGGUUCGCUUUCUGGACGUAACGUAAAAUUUUGAUAUGUUGCUUAAUUUUUCGUGUUGAAUCCAAAUAUGUAAUUGUUUCGUAGCAUUUUUCGGACAACCCAAAAAGUGUAAAAUUAAAAUGAGAAAGAAGUUUCCUUUAUUUUGUUAACUAUGAUGUAAGUUUAUGAUAUAAUUAGAUUGUGUAGUCCUAUGAUGAAUGUACUUGUUAACCUACGUUAGAUGUAAUAUCUCAGGCGUAGAAUGAAGAAACGAUUUCUAAGUUAAUAUGGAAAAUAUUAUUAAGUCUCAGAUGAAUUGAAGUCCCGAAUGGGAUUGAUGAGCAUAUUAUAACCGACUUGUAAUGAAUAGGUCGUGCGACAAUGGAUAGAAGUUAAAUCAUGAACGUUCGGUGGACGUAUAGUGACAAAUGCAAACUGAGGCAAGUUUUUCAGUUCUGUUAUGUUUGUGGAUUGAAUGUGGUUAUGUGCUAAAUUACAUAUCGUGCUCUAUGAAUUGUUAAAGUCAAAAUAUGACUAAGUUAAUUGGGUAUGGAACUCAAUUUAUAUGUGAUAUGUGAUAACACAUGUUGUAUGAUGUAAUGCGAUAAUUGGAAAUGUAUAAUGCAGGAAUUUAUGCAUUGCACGAAAUUAUUGAUGCAUGUAGGACAUGAAUAGUAAAGGAAAUAUAGUGCAUAUGAAAUUGUGUGCUAUGUGAAACAUGAUAGACUGUUAAAUUUAUUGGGCUGUCAAGCUCAAUCUUGCAAACACAAACUCUUUGCAGGUUAAUGAUGUUAAGCGAUAUUACUUGCUAUACAUAUGAUAAAGAUUGAACGAUGUGCAAAAUGAAUAUAUUUUCUUGAAUUAGAAAUAGUUUAAAUCUAUGAUUGAUUGUUUCGUCAAAUGUAAUUGGCAGUUAUGUAUAGUUUGAAAUGUUGAAUGGAUAAAGAAUGUUUAUUUUGAAAUGAGAAUAAAUAUGAUUCUGAAAUAAGUGAAUCAUCGAUAGAAAAGAUAUUAAGUAUUGAGACUUAAGUUUUUAAUACGUUUACACAGAUUAUACAAAUCAUAUAAUAAAUAUGAUUCUAGUAAAAAAAAAAAGAAUUGUAAAGGUUGCGAUUCAAGGAAUGAAUGAAUGGAAAAGAAAAAAAAAUUAUUCCAUAUUUUAGCUAUUUUAACAUUAAAUAAUGGUUUAAAGCUAGAACAAAAUAAUAUUAACGCACAAGAUCGGGAAGGAAAAUAGUCCUGAUUUUGGGGGCGUUACAAAAAUAACAUACGAAAUUGCAAAUGGAUUUUCACCUGUCAUACAGUACGUAAUCCGCGUAGACAGGUUAUUCCGACAUAUUAAAGGAUGAAUAUGAAAAAUAGUAUUCCUUAUGAAUACGAAAGAAAUAAUAUCUCUUACCAAACAAAAAUAACAUCCCUUACGAAUACAACAAAUAAUAUCUCUUACCAAACAAAAAUAACAUCCCUUACCAAACGAAAAAUAACAUCUCUUACCUUAGUAGAAGACUGGAUACUGCAAUAGUGAAGUAGCAUAAUACUCUUCUUCUUUCUCUCUAUAGUUUCUCUCUAUAGCUUCUCUUGUGAGUCUUCGUGAAUUGGUGAGAAUGAAAGAAGAAUUAAGCUUCUAUUUAUAGGAGAAUAGACUAAAUAGUAACUAAUUCAUAAACUGUCCAGAUUGAUUUACUUUUAGAAUGGACGAUCUAUAUUGAUUACUAUUAAAAUCACAACCGACGGUCCAGAUUGAUUACUUUUAAAACCACCACCGACGGUCAGGAUUGAUUUACUUUUAAAACAACCAUCGACGGUCCAGAUUGAUUUACUAUUAAAACCACCACCGACGGUCCAGAUUGAUUUACUAUUAAAACCACCAUCGACGGUCCAGAUUGAUUUACUAUUAAAACCACCAUCAACGGUCCAGAUUGAUUUAACUUAUUACACUUUAGUACCCCUAAAGUUUUUCAAGUUUGUAUUAUUCCCCUCUAACUUUUGUAAUUCACUUAUCUUCAAUAAACACAUUCUUAAUACUUUAACAGUUAUUCAUCAUUAAUAUUAUUACUAACAAUAUCGACAACCAGAUCAUUCCCAGGAAAGAGGGGGCUUUCUGAUAAGAAUUUCUUCUUAUUGGCGCGCAAUUAGGUGACCAAACCUCUUUCCUCGACAUAACUUUCUAGACAUUGUCAAAAAUAUAAAUAGUAAUAUAAAUAAAUGUAUUGUCUCAAUUAUUGAUUUAAUAAUAUAAAAUAUUAUGCAGAUGAUACUGUGACAAUAAUUGAAUCAAAAAACGUGAGAUACUAUAUGCAACAAUUACUGUACCAAUACUUGAGUAAACUGAGUGGCUUCUUACGUAAGCAUUAAUACCAUGUGCUACUAUGCAACCACGCGUAUUACUAUAUUUUUACCACCGGUUAUUUCAAAAGUUAACGGUAAAACUUUCGCUGUUAUUUUUAUAAAAGAUAUUUCUAUCGUUUUCUAACUAAGACAAUUAUUCUGUUGUGGGGUCCAUCAAUGAUAGUGUCGUCGAACGAAUAUUCCUUGACAAAAAGAAUAUUUUCCGACCAAACGAAUAUUCCCUAACACAACGAAUAUUUUAUAUCAACUUGCAUACUUUGAAAAAAAAUUAAAUAUCGCGUUCAACUUUAACCUUUUAUCAAUUUAACCAUUUAAUAAAUAGAAUAAUAAUUAUAAAAAAAUUCAAUACUUUCAUUUCAUAAAUUCGGGGUCUCACAAUACUGAACUGAAAAACUAAAUCUUUUUAUUCAUUGUUUAUUCUUAUUAGUUUAUUCUUGUUAAUUUAGUUAAUUAAUUCGAAAUCCCCUUUUCAUUAGAAAUCAUAGGAUAAAUAUAAAACAAAUCACUUUUUGUGGGAUCGAUCCUUUCUUACUACUUUGUUAAUUGUUUGAAUUUUUAAAGUGAAAGUGAGGUUAAUUUAGGAGUGUAAACGACAGCUCCCAAAUUUUGGCGACGUUGCCAGGGAAUAAUUUGGCAUUUUGUUUUUAUUCUAUUAUUUGUUUUUUUUGUUUAUAACUCAAUCUUCUCAGGCUACUACAUUAGAUUUUGACCUAAGAAUUUAGAAAACUACAAGGAGACUAACGAAGCAAAAUCAGAAAACUCAACAGUCUACUGCAGAUUUGGCCGUGGCUUCUGCAUCAUCACCAGGCCUCAAUAUAGCUUUGGAGCUACUUUCGAACGAAUCAUCCACCGAAUCCGAUAAGGAUGAAGAGAUGGGGGUUCCAAAUAACAACAGAACUCUCAGGGAGUUGGUAACUCCUAAUUUAAAUCAGCAACAUUUAUGUAUUAAAUAUCCUAAUUUAGAUGCUUCAUUUGAACUUAAAUUCGGAAAAAUCCCUUUACUGCCUACUUUUCGUGGCCUUAUAGGCAUGGACCCCUACAAACAUUUGAAGGAAUUCUAUGUGGUGUGCUCCACCAUGAGACCACUUGGGAUCACGGAAGAGCAAAUAAAGCUUAGAGUCUUUCCCUUCUCACUAGCAGAUCUGGAAAAGGAUUGGCUAUACUACUUGCGCUUAGGUUCGAUAUAAUCUUAGAAUGACAUGAAACAAUUGUUCCUAGAGAAAUACUUCCCAUCCUUGAGAUUAGCUAACAUCAGGAAGGAGAUCUGUGGGAUUAGAUAAUUCAGUGGAGAGACACUAUAUGAGUAUUGGGAGAGAUUCAAAAAGCUCUGCUCUAGCUUUCUACCACAUCAAAUAGAUGAACAACACCUUAUCCAGUAUUUCUACGAAGGGUUGGUACCAAUGGAUAAAAGCAUGAUCGACGUAACUAGUGGAGGAUCACUAGUUGAUAAGACCCUAGAGGCUGCGAGGAAUUUGAUUGCAAACAUGGCUGUAAACUCACAACAAUAUGGAACUAGAAUGAAUCAGGCACCAGUAAGGGUAAGCGAGGUGAGCACGUGUGAUCAUGGACAACAAAUUUUUGAACUAAAGACUAUGGUUAGACAAAUAGAUACAGGUCAAGUACCAGCUACAAAGUUUUGUGGGAUCUGUCUACAACCCAAUCACAAUAUAGGUGAAUGCCCAACAUUGCAGGAUAACGAGACUAACCAACAAGCCAAUGCCAUGGGAAAUUACCAAGCACCACAAAAGAAUUAUGAUCCCUAUUCAAACACAUACAACCCAGGAUGGAGUGUAAGAUCCCAACUUUUAUGAAUAAAGAUGAAUUUUCUAUAAAUAUCAUUUUUGAAUAGUAUGGAGUGAAUUUAAUAUAAUGUUAUAAUUGUGGGUAAUAUUUAUAAAUUUUGCAAAGUACGCAAGUUGUUAUAUUAUAUUCGAUUGGUCAGGGAAUAUUCGUUUUAACAGGGAAUAUUCGUACGAUGGCACAAUCAUUGGUGGACACCACAACGUAAUUAUUGUUGGAUUGAUAAAACGACAAAAAUAUCUUUUUAUAAAUAACGGCGGAAGUUUUACCGUUAACUGUUGAACUACCCGGUAGUAAAAGUACAGUAAUACGCGUGGUUGCAUAGUAGCACACGAUAUUGAUUAUUGAUGCUUACGUAAGAAGUCACUUAGUUUUGCUCAAUAAUUGUUACAAUAAUUACUGUUCAAUAUUUUAUUUUAUUGAUUCAAUAAUUGCUGCGUUGAUAUUUUAUAUUAUUGUUGUUUCAAUAAUUGUCACUGUACAGUAUUUUUCAUUAUCAAAUCAAUAAUUCAUAUUAUUUGAAUAAUAUUAUUAGAUAGCAUUAUUGGAAAUUCUAGAAAGUUCUAUCAAGGAGAAGUUUGGUCACCUAAUUGCGCGCAAGUAAGGAGAAAUCCUUAUCGGAAAGCCCCCUCUUUCCUGGGAACUGUCUGAUUAUCAUUAUUGUGAUUCUGUGAUAUUAUUUGUGAAUAAUUAAUUAUUGAUAAGGAAAUAUUUAUUCGAUGAGGAUAUAAAUGAUGAAUUUAUUUAUUUUAUGUGGUUAUAAAUGAAGGAAUUAAUGUUGAGAUAUUUUAUCAGUAUUUUAUCGUAUUAGAGGUAUUAAAAAAUCAAAUCGGUAUUCUUAAAGCUCUAUUGCGUAAGUUAUAAUUUUGAUCUGACUGUCGGAUCGUUGUGAUUUUUGGAUAUGUUAUACAUAUAUAAGUUGAGUAUAUGUCCACAAAUUUUGAACCGUUAAUAAUUAGCGUAUGAUUUGUUAUGAAUUUUAAGAGGUAUUGAAAAUCAUCAGUUUGUGGAUUUCGGAUAUUUUCUGUUUGGAAUUUGGAAAAACUUUUUCUGAAAAGUUGUAGAGAAUUCAAUUUCGUAUGGAAUAGACAUAAAAUUCGUAUUUUUCUGAUAAAAGGGCUAUUUAUUAUAAAUUACUGAAGUUUCGGAAAAUAAAAUAAUUUUUAUUAAAAUUAGGUCGGACCCACUUUUGGUUGUUGAGAAAGAUGGCUGUUCUUUGGUGGACCCCACUUGUGGUGGCAUAAAUUUUUUAAAAAUGCAUGCGUAGAAAAAAAAAAUUAAAUUAAUAUUUUAUUAAUUUAGUCUCCUUUGGCGUUUUAGCAUUUUCCUAUAAAUAGGGUGCUUAGUUAGAAUUGAAAAUCACACAAGAAUCAGAGAAUUAUUCUUCUAUAAUCUUGAGCGUAUUUCUUUAGAGUUUUAGAAAGCUAUGAGCGUAGGAAACUGUGAAAGUUUUCUUCAAGAAUAUCCCUGCUAUAUCAGUUGGAAUACUCUUCUUUUCAAGGUAAGGGAUGUUAUUUUUGUUAAAUAUUCUCUUGAAAUAAUAUUUUCUUCCAAACUCUGUAGUAUAUAAGUAAUAUUAUUUCAUUUUAGAUUUCAAAUUCUAUACUCGUUUUAUUAAAGUUUUGGCUUCUAUACUCCAUGAAAUUAGUAGAAUAUCCUUGAUAUUUGCGCUUCAUCCAGUAUCUUUUCAUGAAAAUAUUAUUCUGAGCAUUCUUGAUAAGUUUUAACUUUUUCAUGUCGGAGUAUUAUUCACGGGGUUACUAUUCCCGAAGUAUUAUUCACCUGGGAACUAUUCAUGAUAAAAAAUUGAUUCGUUUUCGGUCCAAAUUAUUUUUACAAUAUUAUUCUUAAAUUUUACUCUACAAAGCAUUAUCAUGUUGACAAUUUGGACGUUAUUGAUUUCUGGAUAAAUUAAAUUAUAAAUCUUUAAAAAUUUAUCCUUAAACUUGUUUUAUUGAAUUCUUAUAUCAUUGUCAUCAUCCUCAUGUUUAUAUUCUGUUGAAAGUCAUCUGUGGCCUGUAGUGCAUAGAUGGACUUGGUAUGGUUAUAACCAGGGAUUAUUCGGUAUAAUCAUGACCGUAAUGUUAUAAAUGAUGUGGUAAAAAGUCCUCAUUGGCCUGUAGUGCAUUGAUGGAAAGUUGUUGGCAUGAUCAUGACCAUGAAUACACGAAUAUCCUUGGCUCGUAGUGCAUGGAUAAUUUGUGGUCGUGAUACUAAAGAAUAUCCUUGGCCGUAGUGCAAGGGUGAUUCGAUGAUGUGGAUUAUUUAUUAAGCUGAGUCUCAGCGAUAAAAGUGAUGAAAAACCUUUUAAAUCAUAAAAGAUAGUAGAUUUUAUGGUCUACUUGACUCUUCUAAUGGAUUGCUUAUUCCGCUGCAGUUAAACUUGAUGUUUGUUAUAUUUUAUCAGUUUAACACUGUUGAAGGCUAACGAUAAAUUAUUCUGCUUUAUCUUAGUCAUAAUAUUUCUUAUUGGGCUAGUUGAGUUCACCCUUUUGCUUUCAUUGUUCUCUUCAGGAAAUGAGAACGUAGCCGGGACUAAUCGGGAAACGCAGUGACGGUC